GAUGAAGAACGUAGCGAAAUGCGAUAAGUAAUGUGAAUUGCAGAAUUCCGUGAAUCAUCGAAUCUUUGAACGCACAUUGCGCCCCCUGGUAUUCCGGGGGGCAUGCCUGUCCGAGCGUCAUUGCAACCUUCAAGCGCGGCUUGUGUGUUGGGUCUCGUCCCCCGUGGACGGGCCCGAAAGGCAGUGGCGGCGUCCCGACAUGGUGCCCGAGCGUAUGGGAAUCCUCUUCCGCUCGAAUCGGCCCAUGCGGCGCUGGUCGUAACCAAAUUUUUUACCGGUUGACCUCGGAUCAGGUAGGGAUACCCGCUGAACUUAAGCAUAUCAAUAACGAGGA
Molecule: unclassified non-coding RNA, 334 nt
Filed under: soil metagenome
Description: partial contains 5.8S ribosomal RNA, internal transcribed spacer 2, and large subunit ribosomal RNA
Rfam family: 5.8S ribosomal RNA (bases 1-120)
Source: RNAcentral